GACUACAGAUUGAUCACCAAAGAUCGACCAAAUGCCGGCAUCGUUGAGGUUUUCAACCAGGACAUCGGAUGGGGGCUCGUUUGUCAAAACAAUUGGAACUUCGAACUAGCAAGUAUAGCUUGUCGUCAGCUAAACUUUCCAGGAACUUCUCGACAUCUUACGGCAGUUUUUUUCGACGACGGAGAUGAGUGGUCGAUGUCAGUAACUAAUAAUAUAUCAACAUAUUUUACAGGCUGUUCAGUUAAUGGGCCGAACAUGCAAUGUGAUACGAACAACGGAGGUGGUAGCUGUAAUUUCAACUAUAUGAUAGCAGCCGUUUCCUGCAAAGAACCAGGUUAUAUUGGAUGUUUCAGGG
Long non-coding RNA from Strongylocentrotus purpuratus (purple sea urchin), 355 nucleotides. RefSeq lists it as uncharacterized. Lineage: Eukaryota; Metazoa; Echinodermata; Echinoidea; Camarodonta; Strongylocentrotidae. The record is from RefSeq and is a predicted model, not a curated record. The transcript has 3 exons.